This 253-nucleotide ribosomal RNA is filed under the name uncultured bacterium. RNAcentral describes it as "partial 16S ribosomal RNA". It matches the Rfam family "Bacterial small subunit ribosomal RNA", at positions 524 to 776 of the family's 1533-position model. The record is from RNAcentral.
UACGAAGGGAGCAAGCGUUGUCCGGAUUUAUUGGGCGUAAAGCGCGUGUAGGCGGCGUGACAAGUCGGGUGUGAAAGCCCUCAGCUCAACUGAGGAAGUGCGCCCGAAACUGUCGUGCUUGAGUGUCGGAGAGGGUGGCGGAAUUCCCCAAGUAGAGGUGAAAUUCGUAGAUAUGGGGAGGAACACCGGUGGCGAAGGCGGCCACCUGGACGACUACUGACGCUGAGACGCGAAAGCGUGGGGAGCAAACAGG